CUAAAGAUGUUGUUGUAAACGGUAUCCUAAUAAACGUAACAUAAUUUUUAUACACGAUAACUUGGUACAGUUGUUACCACCACGAGCAUUAAUUAAAAUAAUUAAAUUUCAUUCCUUUGAAAUCGCGGGAUGUGAUCAUUCGUCGUAUCGGAUUUACAGCGAUAUCGGUUGGCUCAGCUCACAUUCAACACGUAUAAAACUCGAGUAAACCAGAAGAACGAUUACGCUGAACGCGUAUGGUAAACACUCCACGAUUUUCCCACAAAUUUAUACCGCCUGGUCGUAAACAUCGAGCAAUUCCUUUUCUAUCACUAUGAACGCCGAUGAAUUGUCGGUUCACGUAAGAAGCGCGAGUGAAACUCUGUCGGUGGUGCGCGCACAGUAGAAAAAGUCGUACGAGAACGCCUUUCCGUCGGUGGCUUUAAACCGCGAUGUCAGUGCACAUUUCUGAACGGGUGGCGCUCAGCCCUCCCCCCACCUCUUUUUUCUCUCUCGGUUUCCCCUGUGUGCAUCUAAAUACCGUUAUCGCGAUAAACGUGGUUGCAGUGAUUUCGAGCGAAAGAUUAUCCAGACGGAUGUACGUUCGUGAUACACCGAUUCUCGUUCAAAUUCAAGCUAUUAAGACAGACACGGGCGUUUGCAAAAGAUGACAGCAGGAUUCACAGGCAGCACCGUGUCUCGUGUGCGCGAUGCAGCGCACGAAUAGUGGGGAGAAUGAAAGAGGCAGUGAGCGGGGUAAUGGUGAAGGGAACGAGAGAGGAAGGGAGGAAGGGGAAGGUAGAAAGUGGGGAGGUUAAAAAGAGAAGAGGGGGACGACGAGGAAGGUAGAGAGGAAGAGCGAGGAAGAAAGAGAAGACAUUGACCGAACGAGCAGCCGCGCGACAAGGCCUCCUUUGCCGUGCCAGGCCAGCUGGAAGGAACGAAGCCCGAACCCUGACUUCUCUUUCUCGGCUCUGGGUAUUACUUUCCUUUUCUGAUAACCAUGUACCCACUAACGUUCUUCUCUUUUCUUCUCUCUUUUCCCCCCUCUCCUUUUGUACGGUUGGCUACCAAAGAAACGAUGGGAAAAAGCCACUAGAGCUCGCGGUGUAAAAAACUACCACCUAGCCAUACUCCACCUGCGCACGUGUGCCAACUGCGAAAUGAAACCCCCUAGGAUUUGUAUCGCGGUCGGAUUACAUACACUCCGUAUCUUAGACGAAUUAAUUGAAUAAACGGAGACUUGAGAAUAUACAUAUACAGGAAGUAGUACAUAAUUAUAUUACCUCAAUAUGCGCCCAUACACAUACAUAUAUUUAGCGUUGAAACUGAUACCAUUGCCCAUAUUAAAUAAUAUCGAAAAAGGAAGUGUUAAAAAGUAUCGAUAUCUGUUAGUUCUACGCAAGAAUCGAUUCUAUUGCAUACAGUAUUAGUUUCAUAUCGAUCGAAGAAAAAUCGAUAUCGAUAAUUGGUACCAAGUAAAAUUUCGAUAUGUAUCGAUUCUUUUUAUUGAGAACUUUGUUAUCGAAUCGUUUGGAAGUUAUCGAUAUAUUUAUAUAUGUUUCGAUAUUGAAAAGACUGUUCGAUCGAAAUAAUUUAUUGCGAGUACAAGCGAAGUAACAAUACUUUUGUUAUAAAUUAAUGGUAAGUAAGCAAAUCUUCGACUCAAAAAAGAUAAAAGUAUUUGGCAGUGCGGGAGGUGAAGUUCCUCGACACGGGACGAGUAAAGGAAGGUCGUCCCCAGACGUGCGGACGUUCCACCGGUCGGCUACUCCGUGCUUUGGCUAGCCGGCUACUAAACUCGUCUGUACAACGUUGCCACGUCUAUUCGUUCGGUGUUGACACGAUCAGACUCUAAUUCAGCUACUACUCACAGUUCGUGUAUGCUCAGUCGCGACGUUAAUGUGCGAGCCGUAUGCACCAUUUGUACUGCUACUGAUUAUCGAUAAAUUAUCAAUAUCAUAUCGAUACUCCCCGAUAUAUCGAACGUAACAUGUAAUUCUAUUAACAUCAAUUUAUUUUUGUUUAAACUUCAAACAUAACCUGAUAUCGGUACUUAAUAUGUACACGGUUCGAACAAGUAGUAGAUUGACACAAUCAUAUAAAUUAUUUCAGUCAUUUUAUGCCAUGAAGGCAAACAUUCAUGGAGUAUUUGAAAUCGAACAUUUUCGCGCGCAAUGGCUUCCCACCAAUCAGAAGCGUCAAAACUCCCCCAUUGAGUUUGACAGCCACGUUUCUUGUUUGACAAAUAUUAGCGCCAAGAUUAAGUAUUCUUCAUUCUCGUUAAUAACAGGCGGAUAAUAACAGUCAUUUGGAGAUCUGUUUGACGAAAAUUCCGGCUGCUUGCCAGUACCAAAUUGACGUGCUGAGCGUGAAACGACGCUGGCCAUGGUCCAAAAAUUAUUCGAAAGUAAACAUAUAUCACGGCAGCAUUGUUUAUAUUCGAAGGUGUUUAUAAAACAGACGUUCGUGAAUGUAAAGAUGUUAAUCAACGGGCGAGAACAUGACUAACUCUUGGCAGGAGAGAUUCUUAUCGGAGAUGAUGUAUUUUAACGCCAUUAAGUGACGCAAACUUCGAAUGGAAUGUGGCGACGAAAAAGAAAAAGAAAAUGCAAUCAACAUUUAAGUGUCAGCGUUCGUGUUUUGUCUAGUUGGUCCAACUGGCCAAUAAAGUUUAGUUCUACGAAAACAUGUUAGAGGGAGAGGUAGGCUAAAGGAAGAGGGCGGUGUUGCAAGAAAAAACAUAAAGAUUUAGCGAUGUAAAUACAACGAUAAAGAAACCAUUGGCUGCUACAUCAAAGCUUGCUUUUUUCAUCGAUUUACAAUAUUCCUAGCGGGGAGACACGUUUAUUCUACAAUAGGUGGAGGGAAAUGCAUUCCUUUCUUAGGAAAAAUGGCGCCCAUGGGAGUCUCUGUAACCAAGGAAGCCACCGUUGCACCCGAGUAUGCCAAGUACGCGUAAUUUAGAUGAUUUGAGAAUAAGUGCCGCCAUUAUCUCCGUUGUACGAUUAUUAUGGAUAAUGUCGGUCACGAUCACUUCCGCGUGAAAAUAAUUAGAUACAGUUUAGAUCAGAAAAAUAAAAUGUGGCAAGCAGUAAAUUUUGCACGAGUUAACAAGUAAUUGGAAACGUGUCGAAAUUAAUCUAUCUGUUACGUGACUGAAAAUAAACCAAUCCGAUGGAACGAGAUAAAAAAAUUAGAAUGCAAAUCUUUACGCUGCAUUGAGCAGCGUUUUAUUUAAUUAAGAGCAUUAUCGUUCACCCAGGUCUCGUUAUUGGGGUUUUAAAUAUAUACCGAAAAGCACAGACACGCGAUACGAGGACGAGUAUUUUCCUCCGUUUAUUAUUAAAAUAUUCCGCCUCGUUACGUGACUGCUGAUAUAGGAUACCAAUGUAUCCUGUAAUUCAGUGCGCGAUAGAAUUAUGUAUUCGUCGGUAAUCGAACGAAUUACAUAUUGCCUUCGAGUGUUUCAUUAAUUAGCGUAAAUCGAGCAAUGUAAAAUCCAAGCAGAGGUCCAACAAAUUCGUUGUCUUGCAUUUCCGUGUCCAUCACUUUUCAUCUUUAUAAGAAAUUUUUUUAUGCUAACCCUUUGCGCUCGAGAG
Molecule: long non-coding RNA, 3581 nt
Organism: Megachile rotundata (alfalfa leafcutting bee)
Lineage: Eukaryota; Metazoa; Arthropoda; Insecta; Hymenoptera; Megachilidae
Source: RefSeq, a predicted model, not a curated record